UUGUCAGCUCGUGUCGUGAGAUGUUGGGUUAAGUCCCGCAACGAGCGCAACCCCUAUUGUUAGUUGCUACCAUUAAGUUGAGCACUCUAGCGAGACUGCCUGGGUUAACCAGGAGGAAGGUGGGGAUGACGUCAAAUCAUCAUGCCCCUUAUGUGUAGGGCUACACACGUGCUACAAUGGCAAGUACAGAGAGACGCAAAACCGUGAGGUCGAGCAAAUCCCUUAAAACUUGUCCCAGUUCGGAUUGUAGGCUGAAACUCGCCUACAUGAAGCCGGAGUCGCUAGUAAUCGCGAAUCAGCAUGUCGCGGUGAAUACGUUCCCGGGUCUUGUACACCCCGCCCGUCACACCAUGAGAGUUGGCAAUACCCAACGUCCGUGAGCUAACCGCAAGGAGGCAGCGGCCUAAGGUAGGGUCAAUGAUUGGGGUGAAGUCGUAACAAGGUAACCGUA
Molecule: ribosomal RNA, 451 nt
Filed under: uncultured bacterium
Lineage: Bacteria
Description: bacterial SSU rRNA
Rfam family: Bacterial small subunit ribosomal RNA
Source: RNAcentral